RNAcentral lists this long non-coding RNA (2290 nucleotides) under Nicotiana benthamiana. RNAcentral's name for it is "long non-coding RNA (NBEN_LNC034546)". The record is from RNAcentral. Lineage: Eukaryota; Viridiplantae; Streptophyta; Magnoliopsida; Solanales; Solanaceae.
ACAGACCCUUACCCCCCUCAAAACCCCUACCCCUCAUUUCUAACACUAGUAACCCUAGAAAUCGUCCCCGCUGUCCACUACUGGUCGGAAAUCGCCUCCGCCGCCGGCGAUCGUCUAAUCCUAACCAAAAUCACACCCUAAGCUCGCCUUGAUCCCCUCAUACCCAUUCUAACCUUUAUAUCCCUCAAAUAUCACCAGAAACCGUCAAAUAUUCAAAACCCUAGGGCUCCGCCAUGGAUUCCUCCACCGUGUCCGGCGGCGCUGCUUCCAAAUCACCCCAAAUUUACACCCUGCAACCCCCAUGCCUCCCUCAUGACAAAUCCAAAAAUAUGUUUUUUUGAAUACCCCUCAGACGGCUCGAAUAUUAGAUGGAAGGUCUGAUCUAAAACUCUAAAAUUCGUGCAUGAAGAUUUUCUUAGUAUUGGUUUUGUCCUCUGAUAACGCUAUUUUAUUUCUACUAAGAAAAAACAACUAAUGUUAUUAGAGGAAAAAGUUAGAGGUUCGAGUUGCCAUAUAUUUCAAGCUUUGAUCCGGUAAGUUUGUUUCCUCCUGGGUUUGUUUCGCUACUAGCCUUGUUAGUUUUUCCCUUAUGCUUCUUUCUCUUUCAGAAAUGCUUGGGUUUUGUCUGUAUUAGUCUGUCCCUUAAUCCUGUUUUGUUUGAUCCAUUGUUGAUUAACAGCUUAAUUAUUGUAUUAUCAGUUUAAUUGCUUAGGUAGUAAAGUUAGGUUUAUUGUUGUUAAUUCUGAAUGGUCGGUCAUUAAUUUGCUUCUUGUUUCUUUACUUUGUUUCAUCAGGCUAGUUAGUAAGGUUAGAGAACAUGAAUUCAUCAAUAAUCUUGUUCAAUUAUGUUUCCGUUAAUUUUUCUUUUAAUUCAUAAGUAUUGUUUCAAGGGUCAGAUUUAGUUACCUCUUUUUUGUCAAUUAAUUUUGGUAAGUCUUGGGUCAGAAAUAGAUUGGGCCCUUUAAGUCAUUUGUUACCCAAUUCAAAGAGCCCCGGCUAUUUCUGAGCCCAAGUUCAUUUGGUUCUCAAAGCAGUUUCAGGGUUAUUGGGGGGUUAGUUUAGGUAGACUAGUAAAGAAAUCUUUAGUAACAGCUUUAUAAGCUUCUAGUUUGGGGUUCAAAUUGCAAUUACUGAUUUUGAAAACCUAACUUGGAAAAAAUGUAAGUAGGUGAAGGGUCUCUAAGCUAAAAACAUAAAUUAAAAAGGGACUACAAUGCAAAACAAAAACCUAAAAUGUGCCAAAAUUGCUUGCCUAUAAAGGCAUUCAUUCUUGCCUUUCAGGAAAAAGAUGAAAAAAGAGGAGAGUAUUCGGAAAUAAGACUAAAAGAAUAGAGAGCCUAAAAAAUAAAAAAAGAAAGGUUUGAAAGGAGAAAAUAAUCAGAAAAUAUAAAAAUCAAUAGAACUUUAUUGUUCCAUUAAUUUCUUUUGAUUCCUGAAAUUCUCAAGCUCUGAAAUACUUGCUGGUUAAUCUGGGGUUGAAUAUCGAUUAAUUUGCGGUUUAAAAGUUGGUUUUGGAAAUUUGGUCGAGUUCUGUUGAUUGUGACAUCUCAUUUCUUAGCCUGAAUCUGAUUAUUCGUGUUUUCCCAUGCUGCUAUCCUAUUGCAAGUUCCUCAUUUCUUUGUUUCAUUUUGUUGCCAGGCACACAUCUCUGAAAUUCAAAACAAUAUGAAUCUGCAAAUUUGGGAGUUGAAAUGGAAUAAAUACAUUGAUAUUCAGUAUAGUUUUAAGUCUGCUUCUUCUUUUUCUGAUUCAUGUUGUUCUUAUAACACAAUUUGAAUUUACCUUAGAAUCUGGUCAUGUUCUAGUUGAGUAAUAGUUGUAGUCAUAACUUAACUUACUGGUGUAUUUCUUUCUUCUAUUCAACCUGCUUUAUUUUCUUUAAGGAUCUAAUCUGAUGCUAUUAAUUUGAUUGAUUCAAAUCUAUUUUGAAUCCCUAGUCAUGUGUUUAGUAAAGACUUCUCAGUUUGGUGUAGUGUACAAUUGGAUUUGGUAUGCAUAAUGGGUUGGUAUUUGUUUGAGAUGGAUGUUUUUUAUAUAUGUAUGCGAAAGGGGCUGUAUAUGUGAUGAUAUGAACAAAAUCGAAUUGGUUUGUUAUUGAAUUUUUUGUAUGAUUAAGAUAGUCCAGUAAAAUCGAUUUGAUCUUGUCAAUGAUGAGCAAUGUGAUGGUCAUGUUUCUUUGCAUAUUAGAUGGCCUUUGGGGGGUCCAGUUCAGAGUCUUUCGUUCAUAGAAGUGAACUCAUUAGUAGUUAGGCUCAACAUGGGCCUGAUUUUUGCUUAGAAGAGUAUAUUU